Molecule: long non-coding RNA, 792 nt
Organism: Homo sapiens (human)
Lineage: Eukaryota; Metazoa; Chordata; Mammalia; Primates; Hominidae
Exons: 3
Source: RefSeq, a predicted model, not a curated record
UAGAACAGAAGUCUGGCAUGGCAUGGCGUGGCAUGGAUUCUUUGCUCAGAAUCUCACAAAGCCAAAAUCAAGGUGUUGGUAGGGCUGCAUUCCUUUUUGGCGGCUAUUGGGAAGAAUCUGUAUCCAAGCUGUAUCCAAGAUUGACUGGGCAGUUCUUCUACUGGUCUUGCUCAGAUUCCCUCACAGAGCUGGUUCUACUGGAGCUGGAGAGUCUAAGAUGGUCUCACCAUCAUGUUUGGGACCUUGACAGGGAUGAUUGCAAAGGUUUAUGUAACAAUGCGAAGGAGGCAAAGCAAAUCGAUGGUGUUCCUUGGCUGUGCAUGGUAGGUCCUUUCUUUUUUUUUUUUUUUUAAUUUAUUUUUUUAUUGAUAAUUCUUGGGUGUUUCUCACAGAGGGGGAUUUGGCAAGGUCAUGGGACAAUAGUGAAGGGAAGGUCAGCAGAUAAACAAGUGAACAAAAGUCUCUGGUUUUCCUAGGCAGAGGACCCUGUGGCCUUCCACAGUGUUUGUGUCCCUGAUUACUUGAGAUUAGGGAGUGGUGAUGACUCUUAACGAGCAUGCUGCCUUCAAACAUCUGUUUAACAAAGCACAUCUCGCACUGCCCUUAAUCCAUUUAACCCUGAGUGGACACAGCACAUGUUUCAGAGAGCACAGGGUUGGGGGUAAGGUCACAGAUCAACAAGAUCCCAAGGCAGAAGAAUUUUUCUUAGCGCAGAACAAAAUGAAAAGUCUCCCAUGUCUACUUCUUUCUACACAGACACGGCAACCAUCCGAUUUCUCAAUCUUUUCCCCA